AUUGAACGCUGGCGGCAGGCCUAACACAUGCAAGUCGAGCGGAUGACGGGAGCUUGCUCCUGGAUUCAGCGGCGGACGGGUGAGUAAUGCCUAGGAAUCUGCCUGGUAGUGGGGGACAACGUUUCGAAAGGAACGCUAAUACCGCAUACGUCCUACGGGAGAAAGCAGGGGACCUUCGGGCCUUGCGCUAUCAGAUGAGCCUAGGUCGGAUUAGCUUGUUGGUGAGGUAAUGGCUCACCAAGGCGACGAUCCGUAACUGGUCUGAGAGGAUGAUCAGUCACACUGGAACUGAGACACGGUCCAGACUCCUACGGGAGGCAGCAGUGGGGAAUAUUGGGCAAUGGGCGAAAGCCUGAUCCAGCCAUGCCGCGUGUGUGAAGAGGGUCUUCGGAUUGUAAAGCACUUUAAGUUGGGAGGAAGGGUUGUAGAUUAAUACUCUGCAAUUUUGACGUUACCGACAGAAUAAGCACCGGCUAACUCUGUGCCAGCCGCCGCCGUAA
Molecule: ribosomal RNA, 500 nt
Filed under: uncultured bacterium
Lineage: Bacteria
Description: partial 16S ribosomal RNA
Rfam family: Bacterial small subunit ribosomal RNA
Source: RNAcentral